GUGGUAGCUCAGUGGUAGAGUGCUUGCCUAGCAUGCAAGAGGCCUUGGGUUCAAUCUCUAGUUCCACA
This 68-nucleotide transfer RNA is filed under the name Marmota marmota marmota (Alpine marmot). It matches the Rfam family "tRNA". From Rfam's summary of the family: Transfer RNA (tRNA) molecules are approximately 80 nucleotides in length. Their secondary structure includes four short double-helical elements and three loops (D, anti-codon, and T loops). RNAcentral also lists the same sequence under 1 other name. The record is from Rfam by way of RNAcentral. Lineage: Eukaryota; Metazoa; Chordata; Mammalia; Rodentia; Sciuridae.